GAUGAAAGCUAGCUACAGGCUUAACACAUGCAAGUCGAGGGACCGGCGCACGGAUGAGUAACCCGUAUCCAACAUACCCUUAACUCGGGGAUAGCCUUUCGAAAGAAAGAUUAAUCCCAGAUGUAAAGGAUGGGGAUGCGUUCCAUUCGGUUGUUGGGGAGGUAACGGCUCACCAAGCCUUCGAUGGAUAGGGGUUCUGAGAGGAAGGUCCCUCCCAUGGGAACUGAGACACGAUCCAAACUCAUACGGGAGGCAGAAUUGAGGAAUAUUGGUCAAUGGGCGGUAGCCUGAACCAGCCAAGUAGCGUGAAGGAUGAAGGCUUAUGGGUCGUAAACUUCUGUUAUAUAAGAAUAUGUAUUAUAUGGAUAAGGAUCGGCGAACUCCGUGCCAGCAGCGGCGGUAAUUC
Molecule: ribosomal RNA, 406 nt
Filed under: uncultured bacterium
Lineage: Bacteria
Description: partial 16S ribosomal RNA
Rfam family: Bacterial small subunit ribosomal RNA
Source: RNAcentral